GCCGAAGUGGUGAAAUUGGCAGACGCACUGGACUCAAAAUCCAGCGGUAGCAAUACCAUGCCGGUUCGAGUCCGCCUUCGGCA
RNAcentral lists this transfer RNA (83 nucleotides) under Acetivibrio straminisolvens JCM 21531. RNAcentral's name for it is "[Clostridium] straminisolvens JCM 21531 tRNA". It matches the Rfam family "tRNA". Rfam says of the family: Transfer RNA (tRNA) molecules are approximately 80 nucleotides in length. The record is from Rfam by way of RNAcentral. Lineage: Bacteria; Bacillati; Bacillota; Clostridia; Acetivibrionales; Acetivibrionaceae.